RNAcentral lists this ribosomal RNA (253 nucleotides) under uncultured bacterium. Its description in RNAcentral is "partial 16S ribosomal RNA". It matches the Rfam family "Bacterial small subunit ribosomal RNA", at positions 524 to 776 of the family's 1533-position model. The record is from RNAcentral.
UACGGAGGGAGCUAGCGUUGUUCGGAAUUACUGGGCGUAAAGCGCGCGUAGGCGGCUUUGUAAGUUAGAGGUGAAAGCCCGGAGCUCAACUCCGGAACUGCCUUUAAAACUGCAUCGCUUGAAUCCAGGAGAGGUGAGUGGAAUUCCGAGUGUAGAGGUGAAAUUCGUAGAUAUUCGGAAGAACACCAGUGGCGAGGGCGGCUCACUGGACUGGUAUUGACGCUGAGGUGCGAAAGCGUGGGGAGCAAACAGG